This is a long non-coding RNA of Hypanus sabinus (Atlantic stingray), 304 nucleotides long. RefSeq lists it as uncharacterized. Lineage: Eukaryota; Metazoa; Chordata; Chondrichthyes; Myliobatiformes; Dasyatidae. The record is from RefSeq and is a predicted model, not a curated record. The transcript has 3 exons.
GAAAGAUACACUGGAAGAUUCUGUGAGCACUUGGUAAUGCCAGAAAUCAGCGUCCCCCUCAUUCUGGGAAUUCUUGUUGUGGUAUUGCUUGUUACUGUUGGAGCAUUCUUCUUGAGGAGAAGAAUUGGAAAAAGGAAAGCUCAUGCUAACUUGCAAUUGACUGCAACGGGACACAGGAACCAGAUCGCAAUGAAUGAAGCUUCUGUAGUGGUACCAGAGGAACCACAAGUAUCAAGCUGAAGCUUCAGAGUACUUCUUAGCCAACAUAUGUUGAAAUUGGCAUUUUAAUGAAGUAAAUAUUUGC